RNAcentral lists this ribosomal RNA (890 nucleotides) under Amerosporium atrum. RNAcentral's name for it is "LSU rRNA". It matches the Rfam family "Eukaryotic large subunit ribosomal RNA", at positions 38 to 961 of the family's 3401-position model. The record is from RNAcentral. Lineage: Eukaryota; Fungi; Ascomycota; Leotiomycetes; Helotiales; Sclerotiniaceae.
GCAUAUCAAUAAGCGGAGGAAAAGAAACCAACAGGGAUUGCCUUAGUAACGGCGAGUGAAGCGGCAACAGCUCAAAUUUGAAAUCUGGACCUAGUCCCGAGUUGUAAUUUGCAGAGGAUGAUUUUGGCGCGGUGCCUUCCAAGUUCCCUGGGACGGGACGCCGGAGAGGGUGAGAGCCCCGUCAGGUUGGACACCAAGCCUAUGUAAAUCUCCUUCGACGAGUCGAGUAGUUUGGGAAUGCUGCUCUAAAUGGGAGGUAUAUGUCUUCUAAAGCUAAAUACCGGCCAGAGACCGAUAGCGCACAAGUAGAGUGAUCGAAAGAUGAAAAGCACUUUGGAAAGAGAGUUAAACAGCACGUGAAAUUGUUAAAAGGGAAGCGUUUACGACCAGACUUGUGCCGGUUGAUCAUCCAGCGUUCUCGCUGGUGCACUCUGCCGGCCCAGGCCAGCAUCAGUUCGCCGCGGGGGAUAAAGGCGUCGGGAAUGUGGCUCCCCCGGGAGUGUUAUAGCCCUUCGCGCAAUACCCUGAGGCGGACUGAGGUUCGCGCAUUCGCAAGGAUGCUGGCGUAAUGGUCGUCAACGACCCGUCUUGAAACACGGACCAAGGAGUCGUCUUCGUAUGCGAGUGUUCGGGUGUAAAACCCCUACGCGUAAUGAAAGUGAACGCAGGUGAGAGCUUCGGCGCAUCAUCGACCGAUCCUGAUGUUCUCGGAUGGAUUUGAGUAAGAGCAUACGGGGCCGGACCCGAAAGAAGGUGAACUAUGCCUGUAUAGGGUGAAGCCAGAGGAAACUCUGGUGGAGGCUCGCAGCGGUUCUGACGUGCAAAUCGAUCGUCAAAUAUGGGCAUGGGGGGCGAAAGACUAAUCGAACCUUCUAGUAGCUGGUUCGCGA